RNAcentral lists this transfer RNA (87 nucleotides) under Klebsiella pneumoniae. Its description in RNAcentral is "tRNA-Leu". It matches the Rfam family "tRNA". Rfam says of the family: Transfer RNA (tRNA) molecules are approximately 80 nucleotides in length. Their secondary structure includes four short double-helical elements and three loops (D, anti-codon, and T loops). Lineage: Bacteria; Pseudomonadati; Pseudomonadota; Gammaproteobacteria; Enterobacterales; Enterobacteriaceae. The record is from RNAcentral.
CCGAAGGUGGCGGAAUUGGUAGACGCGCUAGCUUCAGGUGUUAGUGUCCUUACGGACGUGGGGGUUCAAGUCCCCCCCCUCGCACCA